Molecule: long non-coding RNA, 1476 nt
Filed under: Monodelphis domestica (gray short-tailed opossum)
Lineage: Eukaryota; Metazoa; Chordata; Mammalia; Didelphimorphia; Didelphidae
Description: lncRNA (ENSMODG00000036431.1)
Source: RNAcentral
AUGGUGUCCAGAGCCAAGAGGCCCGGGCCCCUGCUGAAGGGAGAGGAGGCCCCGCUCUCCCUGGAGCACUGGAUCCAGAAGAAGGGCCAGAGCCCCUGGCAGCCCGGCCACUUUAAGUCGGAGAGCCCGGUGGCCGCGGCUAGCGAGGCCUACGCCAAGUUCUGUGCCGAAGCCAAACCCAGCAAAUGCCAGCGCGACGCUGGAGCCGCCUGGGCCCUGUGGCAGGCCUGCGUGGAUGGCGGCCAGUUGCUGGCCCAGCGGCAGGAAGAGUGCACGGCCUGGCAGACCAAGAGCCUGGAGCUGGAGUUCAAGUGCGCACAGCUGCAGCAGGAGAAACAGAGUCUGGAGGAGGCCUGGGAGGCUGAGAAGUUCCGGGCCAGCUUGGAGCGGCCUCCACCCCCUCAGCCCCCAGAGCGGCUGCCUGAGGGCUCCGAGGGCCAGGCCUCUGUCUCUGAGGGGCAGGAGGCCUUGGGGCGUUUGCAGGAGCGCUGCCAGCAGCUGGAGAAGGAGAAGGCCCAGUGGGAGGCCCAGAAGCAGGAGCUCAAGGCCGAGCUGGGGAAGAUGCGGCAGGGCCUAGAGGUGGGCCAGGGCCGCCUGGCAAGCCUGCUCAAAGCCAACCAGGAGGACCGUGAGACGUGCCGCAGCCUGCAGGAGAGCUAUGCCCAGUGCCAGGCCGAGAUCGAGAGGCUCCGCAAGGAGACUGGAGCGCAGCAGCUGCAGCUGAGGCAAGCCUCCGCAGCUGCCGUGACCCAUCGGGGGCCCAAGGAGGAGGAGCCCGAGGCGGCCAAGAGGCACAGGCCCGGGCACGGGGGGCGGGGCACGGCGUGGACCAGGCCAGCUAGCGGGAGCUGUGGCCCUUCUGGGGCCGCAGCCGCAGCGAGGCCUGCUCUCGAGCUCCCCCUGCCAGCCUGGGCGCCCAGCCUGCAGGCCCCAGAGGAGGAGGCAGCCCGUAGCGGAGGCGGAGAAGGAGGAGGAGAAGAAAAAGAAGGAGGAGGCGGGGGUACCGCUGCACCCUCAGGUGGCCCCCAGCAGGCCCAGGUGGGCCGGCGCUGGAAAGCGUUGCCCCGCUGGAAGAGAGUGUGCAGCUCAUGCGGUGCCUGGGGGCGGGCAGAGAGGAGGGGCGGGGUCUGGGACUGCUCCUGGUGCCGAGCCCAGGCUGGGCCUUGGGGGGCCCCCUUCACACCACGCGGGGGCCACUAUUUCCCAGGCCGGGCCGCUGCAGUCACCUUCCCAGUGAGAGGUCGGGGAAUGCAGGGGCCCGGGAGGGGGUGGAGAGCAGCCCCGGACCCCUGGAGAGGGCCGCCCAAGCGAGAUGUGGCCUGGAAGAGGAGGGAAGGACCCCUGGCCAGCCCCGGGGAGUGGAUGUGCCCCCAGUGCCACGUCUCCAACUACGGGCACAGGACCGAGUGCUUUCGGUGCCAUUCCCGGAGGGAGAUGGACUUGGCACGGGAGGGAGAGGCCACUUUCCAGGCCUAG